CCCUUAGAUGUCCGGGGCCGCACGCGCGCUACACUGAUGUGUCCAGUAAGCACCUAACCUAUUCCGAGAGGAGCGGGUAACCUUAGCAAAGCACAUCGUGAUGGGGAUAGAUUAUUGCAAUUAUUAGUCUUGAACGAGGAAUUCCUAGUAAGCACAAGUCAUCAGCUUGUGUUGAUUACGUCCCUGCCCUUUGUACACACCGCCCGUCGCUCCUACCGAUUGAAUGUUCCGGUGAGCUCUUCGGACUGCGCGGUCUGCAGUUUCUGCGUUCCGUGCGGAAAGUUGUGCAAACCUUAACAUUUAGAGGAAGGAGAAGUCGUAACA
Molecule: ribosomal RNA, 324 nt
Filed under: uncultured eukaryote
Lineage: Eukaryota
Description: partial 18S ribosomal RNA
Rfam family: Eukaryotic small subunit ribosomal RNA
Source: RNAcentral